UGAGGAAUAUUGGUCAAUGGGCGAGAGCCUGAACCAGCCAAGUAGCGUGCAGGACGACGGCCCUAUGGGUUGUAAACUGCUUUUAUGUGGGGAUAAAGUGCGUGACGUGUCAUGCAUUGCAGGUACCACAUGAAUAAGGACCGGCUAAUUCCGUGCCAGCAGCCGCGGUAAUACGGAAGGUCCGGGCGUUAUCCGGAUUUAUUGGGUUUAAAGGGAGCGUAGGCUGUCUAUUAAGCGUGUUGUGAAAUAUACCGGCUCAACCGGUGGCUUGCAGCGCGAACUGGUCGACUUGAGUAUGCAGGAAGUAGGCGGAAUUCAUGGUGUAGCGUUGAAAUGCUUAGAUAUCAUGACGAACUCCGAUUGCGCAGGCAGCUUACUGUAGCAUAACUGACGCUGAUGCUCGAAAGUGCGGGUAUCAAACAGG
Molecule: ribosomal RNA, 424 nt
Filed under: Verrucomicrobiota bacterium
Lineage: Bacteria; Pseudomonadati; Verrucomicrobiota
Description: Verrucomicrobia bacterium partial 16S ribosomal RNA
Rfam family: Bacterial small subunit ribosomal RNA
Source: RNAcentral